GUCUCCUCUGAUGCGCGGUGUCUGGCGCGUCCUCGGCUUCCCGAUGGCCAGAGCUUCCUCUGAUGCCCGGGGGCCGACGUCUCCUUGGCUUUCCGGCGGCUCCGACGCGAGAACUCCACGGCUUCCAGUUGACUUAUUCAACUAUUCUUUUCUUCGAUUUUCAUCCUUCGUCUUAUAUAUGUGGUCAUCUCUCAUUAAUUUUUCCGGUUCUGUUUAGUUAUGCAAUCACCCACCACAUUGCAAUGUUGGCGACCAGGUGCGCGGUGGCAGACUUUCUGGGUUUGGAUGGUUGACCUGCCGAGCUUCCCAUGCGGAGAGAUGCCGCUGCUUCAGAUCGUAGCCUCCAUGCCCAGGAGCCUCCGCUAAUGAGCUUUUAUGUCACUAUGUCAGUGGUUUUCAGAAAGAUGCUAAAACAAGAGAGUUUCAGGGGUUGGCAUUUGAGUUCAAUCUCUGCGAAGCUUUGCCCUCAAGGGAGCAGGUAGGUAUUUUUUUCGACUCUGCUGACUUAUCUUUCUGAUUCAGUUGAUAUAACUUCAGGUCCAGGGGCUGCCUUAUUUACAGAUAUGAGAUUAACUCAUGCAAGGAUGAAGUACCAGAGUACAUUACAAAGCAUGGAAUUCACAUCUGUCGGGGGGCAUGUUGUUGUGGCUGGGAGGGGCAGUGUUGAGCGGCGGCGGUAGCGGCAAUGGGGGAUGGGCGUGGUUGUAUGGACCAAGAGCGGGCACAAUGAGCUGCUGCUCUGCGGUUCCUCCAUCUUCUGCUGAAUUAUUUGCUCUUACAAAGGAAGGUAAGCUUGACGGAAAAUUAUGUUUUGAAUCUAACACUCCUCUGUUACAAUUUUUGUUUGCCCUGCUCUAUAUUUUCUUCCCUUUCGAUCUCGAUUCUCUUCCCUAUACCAGUUAAUUCUGAAUUGGUGACAAGUAUUGACAAUUGCUAUUCGGUGAAGGUAAUUUUACUACCAAGUUAAUGGCACUGUAUAGUUUAGAAAGUGGUUCAAAUUCAGGACAGAAAGGAACUAAACUGGUUCAUGUCCAGACUCCAGAGAAAAGAAUGAUUUAAACAAAUAGAAUGGUAGUACAAACAAGCACAAAUUAAGAGAAUGUUUUUUGAGCAUUGUUUUAUUUUCGUGAUGAGUAAUUCAAUUCCAUAUACUGCAGUCCAUGAGACAAAAUUCAGUUCACCCAGUUAAGCAAUAUGUAUAUCCUUGAAUGAUGUUCCCUGAUUUAUUUAAAAAAAAAUCCUUGAUGAGCUACCAGCUACACUGGUAAUGGUGUUUCAGAGAAUUGGUCCAGUUACUCACUAGAGUGAAAUGUAGUAGAACUACUCCAGAAAAGGUACUCUGAUUUCUUUGGAAACCUGUAUUGAUUGGAGCAUAUGCAUGUCAAAACUUAACCAGAAGUGUACCCCCUACUACGUGGAAUAUUUAAUCACCCUUGAUAUGUAUUGGUAUGUUUACAAAAAAAGGAAUCAAUCUCUCAAAAAGAAUGCACAAUGAUUUGGCAUAUUAUACUUCAUGUGCCUUUGUUCUGCUAUAGUACACUCGAACCAUGGAAACAUGAGCUUCAGUUUUUGCAUGAUUCAGAUUUUUACAGGUACAUAUGUGUUCUACUUCUCAAGUGAGGCAGGCAUUUGCUGUGUGUUUGCUUAAGGAGAAGACAACCCAACAGCUUCUUCGUAUCGAUUAUUUUGAUCAAUAGGUCAUAUUGUCAGUAUCACUGUAUUUUAUUCAAUCUUUAGUAGUUUAAUUACUUGCACAACAAUAUUACCUAACUGAAUGUUCCUCCCAUUUAGAUUUUUUACUCUGCAGUAGUAAGAAAUUCAGUGGUUCAUCUGACUUACCAGGGGAUUUACUACUGAAUUUCUUCACCAACAUUUUAGAGUGUGUUUGACUGGUGUAAUGGUGUUCUCGAUGAACAUUUUCAUCUGAGUGAGCUUAGUACAAUAUCAGAUUGACUACUUCAAGUACAUUUAAACUUGCCUUUCCACAGUUGUGUGCUCUGUGUCAAGCCAAUAUCAGAUUGACUACUUCAAGUACAUUUAAACUUGCCUCAGAAUGUGUCAAUGAAGAACGGAAAAAUAUUUGAUCUAUAUUCAGGUUAGGUGCCAUGUUCGUCUGUACUUUCUAGCUAUUCCAUUGUCUUUAAUUGCUUCGACCAUUUCAGUUUUCCUAGAAUUGAUGGCAUCACAAGUUUCAGUUAAGCACACAGAAUUCUUAUGCGGUACAGGUUAAGUUCCACGUUCUUCUCUACUUUCUAGCUAUUCCAUUGUUUUUAAUUGGUUUGAGAAGUCUAGAUUUCCUAGAAUUGAUGAGGGUUAAAAUUGAUGGCUGUGCUAAGUUAAGACCACAUUUUAUUCAUUGCUUUAAUUUCCUAGAAGAAAAACUGGGACAGGACACUGGGACUGGGACGGGAGCAACCAACAAUUUUCUGUACUUAAAGAUGUCAGCUCUGCAACUGAAAAGAAGAUAAGGAAGGCCAAAGCAUGGCUACUGCACCAGCCAAGAAACCACUCCUCGAUUCACCUAGAAGAACGGCUCAGGUCAGCCUAAGCACCGAUGAAGCAAAGAUUUAAUACACUACUACCAAUCAGUUAUGUAUAGUAUUAUGGACCUACCAACUAUCCUAGACGAUAAGUAAUUUCGACGUAUUGUAAUAUUAAGUAUUCAUCACCCAGCUAUGUAUAAUUGUCCUAAUCGUACUAUCAUGUUUCUGCAAUAUUCUACUACUUGGUACAGUUGAUCGCUCUAGGUACUAUGUAUAAUACUCUGUUCGGUACA
This is a long non-coding RNA of Lolium rigidum, 2776 nucleotides long. RefSeq lists it as uncharacterized. The record is from RefSeq and is a predicted model, not a curated record. The transcript is spliced from 2 exons. Lineage: Eukaryota; Viridiplantae; Streptophyta; Magnoliopsida; Poales; Poaceae.